GACGAACGCUGGCGGCGUGCCUAAUACAUGCAAGUCGAGCGAGUCUGCCUUGAAGAUCGGAGUGCUUGCACUCUGUGAAACAAGAUACAGGCUAGCGGCGGACGGGUGAGUAACACGUGGGUAACCUGCCCAAGAGAUCGGGAUAACACCUGGAAACAGAUGCUAAUACCGGAUAACAACAGAUGAUGCCUAUCAACUGUUUAAAAGAUGGUUCUGCUAUCACUCUUGGAUGGACCUGCGGUGCAUUAGCUAGUUGGUAGGGUAACGGCCUACCAAGGCGAUGAUGCAUAGCCGAGUUGAGAGACUGAUCGGCCACAUUGGGACUGAGACACGGCCCAAACUCCUACGGGAGGCAGCAGUAGGGAAUCUUCCGCAAUGGACGCAAGUCUGAUGGAGCAACGCCGCGUGAGUGAAGAAGGGUUUCGGCUCGUAAAGCUCUGUUGUUGGUGAAGAAGGACAGGGGUAGUAACUGACCUUUGUUUGACGGUAAUCAAUUAGAAAGUCACGGCUAACUAAGUG
Molecule: ribosomal RNA, 519 nt
Filed under: uncultured bacterium
Lineage: Bacteria
Description: partial 16S ribosomal RNA
Rfam family: Bacterial small subunit ribosomal RNA
Source: RNAcentral